RNAcentral lists this long non-coding RNA (1376 nucleotides) under Homo sapiens (human). RNAcentral describes it as "HSALNT0316150". Lineage: Eukaryota; Metazoa; Chordata; Mammalia; Primates; Hominidae. The record is from RNAcentral.
AAGAAAAAUUUGUUCAGCAUAUGAGUGGUAGAUACGACCAAAGCUACAUCUCUCAGCAAGUCAGUGCUCCAGCUUAAGCAACAAGAAAAAAAAAAGCUCUAUAUAGAACUGUGACAAACAUAGUUACUGCAUGGAACUAAGAAAAUGAUGUUUGUAGCGUGUAGAAGCUAGAAAAGAAAGAUGAAAUCAAUUUAAACUUUUUCAAAACCAAUAGCUAGACUGAGACUGUUCAGUCCUGAAUAUAUAUGUGUACAUAUGUGUAUGUACACAUAUAUACAAACAUUGGGUUCUCAUUUUGUUUUGGAAAGGUGAAGCUGGUCACCCCCAGAGUUAAUGGGAAAAUAUGUGGGAUUAGAAAUUGUGCCCCAGUAUUCUGGGACUCCUGCCCAAGCCACAGUGAUGGCUUUUCCCCUCUUAUGAUUGCUGCUGUACUGAAAUUUACCAUCAGUCAGCCAUAGAACAGAGCAACUCCCAAGGUUCCAGCUACUACAGUGACUCAUUUGGUGUGUCAUCAUUCCCUGGAGAAUGGAGGUACCACAUCAAAUCAUGGCCCAUCCUAAAGUCUAGUGCCACUGAAAUUUACAGCCACAGAACUGAAUUAAUCAAGAGGAACAACAACAACAAGAGUUCUCUUCCAAAAUGAUAGUUAAAGGACUGCUAAUGAUCAGCAAAUAGCCAAAGGCAGAGGAGUCAAUCCAAGAUCUCUUCGGUUCUUUCCUAAUCAGAACACAGAUUUACAAAGAUGACACAACUGUCCGGAGGUCACACUGAAAUUAUAGACAGAGCUGGAGUUCUGAUUUCUGAAAGUCCUAUUCUCAGUCACUAUGCUAAAUGAGCCUCUAAGGUUCUAUGCUUGUUUUCUUCUUUUAUCAUUUGUCCAAUCAGGAUAGGUUAUUUUGUUGAAAUUUUGUGAGGGAAAAAAAAUUUAUUUUAUUUGGUGGAACGGUUUUUAAUUGGAGAUGGGAGUGGUCUCAGCCCUUUAAAAAUAAAAGAAUGAGGUGAGGGCAAGAAGGGGGUUGUUAUAGGAGAAGGGCCCUAGGCUGGAGGUACAGAGCAAGGUCAAGGGGACCCUGACAGCUGCAGAGUGAAUAGCAUCUUUGCAGUCUAUGAGCUUACAGAUAGAGAAGAUGCAAUUUAGGGUAGGAGAGGUGGUUUUUAUUUCUUAAAAAGUAGUCUUUCUUGGACAGGGACAUACCAGGGAUACAACAGCCCUUUUAAUCCGGAAGAACGAGGGGCUGAAGGAAAUAAAAAGUAAGCCUGAACCAGACCAGAGAAUUAAAAUGGUAUGCGUUUAAGUUUGGUUUAUUUAAAUAUUUGCUCUAAGAAUAUGAAGUUGCCUAUAAAUAGAAAAAAGAUAACAGAAUGGCUGUUUUCUU